UACGUAGGGGGGCGAGCGUUGUCCGGAGUUACUGGGCGUAAAGCGCACGCAGGCGGUCUGCUAAGUUUGGAGUGACAGUUGGUGGCUUAACUGCCAAAGUGCUUCGAAAACUGACAGACUUGAGGGCUUCAGAGGGACACGGAAUUCCGGGUGGAGUGGUGAGAUGCGUAGAGAUCCGGAGGAACACCAAAGGCGAAGGCAGUGUCCUGGGGAGUACCUGACGCUCAGGUGCGAAAGCCAGGGGAGCGAACGGG
This 254-nucleotide ribosomal RNA is filed under the name uncultured bacterium. RNAcentral describes it as "partial 16S ribosomal RNA". It matches the Rfam family "Bacterial small subunit ribosomal RNA", at positions 524 to 776 of the family's 1533-position model. The record is from RNAcentral.